RNAcentral lists this ribosomal RNA (373 nucleotides) under uncultured bacterium. RNAcentral's name for it is "bacterial SSU rRNA". It matches the Rfam family "Bacterial small subunit ribosomal RNA", at positions 527 to 898 of the family's 1533-position model. The record is from RNAcentral.
GAAGGGUGCAAGCGUUACUCGGAAUUACUGGGCGUAAAGCGUGCGUAGGUGGUGGUUUAAGUCCGUUGUGAAAGCCCUGGGCUCAACCUGGGAAUUGCAGUGGAUACUGGAUCACUAGAGUGUGGUAGAGGGAUGCGGAAUUUCUGGUGUAGCAGUGAAAUGCGUAGAGAUCAGAAGGAACAUCCGUGGCGAAGGCGGCAUCCUGGGCCAACACUGACACUGAGGCACGAAAGCGUGGGGAGCAAACAGGAUUAGAUACCCUGGUAGUCCACGCCCUAAACGAUGCGAACUGGAUGUUGGGUGCAACUUGGCACCCAGUAUCGAAGCUAACGCGUUAAGUUCGCCGCCUGGGGAGUACGGUCGCAAGACUGAA